This 161-nucleotide ribosomal RNA is filed under the name Myrceugenia alpigena. RNAcentral describes it as "5.8S ribosomal RNA". It matches the Rfam family "5.8S ribosomal RNA". From Rfam's summary of the family: 5.8S ribosomal RNA (5.8S rRNA) is a component of the large subunit of the eukaryotic ribosome. It is transcribed by RNA polymerase I as part of the 45S precursor that also contains 18S and 28S rRNA. Functionally, it is thought that 5.8S rRNA may be involved in ribosome translocation. Lineage: Eukaryota; Viridiplantae; Streptophyta; Magnoliopsida; Myrtales; Myrtaceae. The record is from RNAcentral. RNAcentral also lists the same sequence under 4 other names.
UAACCGACUCUCGGCAACGGAUAUCUCGGCUCUCGCAUCGAUGAAGAACGUAGCGAACUGCGAUACUUGGUGUGAAUUGCAGAAUCCCGUGAACCAUCGAGUCUUUGAACGCAAGUUGCGCCCGAAGCCAUUUGGUCGAGGGCACGUUUGCCUGGGUGUCA